Myotis lucifugus (little brown bat) is the source of this 635-nucleotide long non-coding RNA. RefSeq lists it as uncharacterized. The record is from RefSeq and is a predicted model, not a curated record. The transcript has 2 exons. Lineage: Eukaryota; Metazoa; Chordata; Mammalia; Chiroptera; Vespertilionidae.
CCCAGGACCCUUCAGUCUGCAGGCCGAUGGGCCAAACCAGCCAGGGCAGCGUGUAACUUGGUAGAGUUACAGAAAGAACACAAGCUCUAAAGUUAGAAGACCUGGGUUUGAACCCCAGCUUCUCAGGUUCCUUACCUACCUGGCCUUCUUCUCUAGGCUUCACUCUCUCCUUAUAAUUAUACUUUAUUAGCUCACAAUGUAGCUGAGGGUAAAUUGUAAACUACAAAGCACCAUAUCCAAUUUAUAAAGUAUCAUCAUCAUCAUGUCCUUUAUAAAUCAAGAUGGCCAAGCCCUGGACUGUGGCUAUUGUAAGGAUUUACCAGAAUUACAUCUUUUAGGAUUGGCCUCUGCCGCCCACAUCUAACAUAAUACAUGCAAGGGCUUAGCCAAGACAAAUUCCUGAAAAGAACACAAUGCAACAGAAGAGGUUCACAAAGUCCUGUGAGUUUGGGUUGGAGAUUACAUCCUGUUGCGUUGUUAGCAACAGUUGGCAACCAACCUGAAGAGAGAAAAAAAGAAGCGAUGAAAAUGUCAAGCUCCUCCAACAGAUAUGUCAUUGAAUGAGUUGGAGUAGACCAGGACAUCGUGUUCAGCAAUAAAGGCCAGGAGAUUUGGCCACCUCUUGUACCAAAUUA